AUUAGAUGAUGAAUCUAUCCCGAAACUGAUUUCAUGUGAAUGAAACUCUUAUAUGGAUCUGACUUCUGAUAU
RNAcentral lists this small nucleolar RNA (72 nucleotides) under Salmo salar (Atlantic salmon). RNAcentral describes it as "Small nucleolar RNA SNORD50 (ENSSSAG00000108808.1, ENSSSAG00020058916.1, ENSSSAG00070037532.1, ENSSSAG00075032123.1)". It matches the Rfam family "Small nucleolar RNA SNORD50". Rfam says of the family: U50 belongs to the C/D class of snoRNA which contain the C (UGAUGA) and D (CUGA) box motifs. Most of the members of the box C/D family function in directing site-specific 2'-O-methylation of substrate RNAs. U50 is an intronic snoRNA gene located on chromosome 6q15, at the breakpoint of chromosomal translocation t(3;6)(q27;q15). Lineage: Eukaryota; Metazoa; Chordata; Actinopteri; Salmoniformes; Salmonidae. The record is from Rfam by way of RNAcentral.